CUUUUUUUCUAUGAUGGGACCAAACAACAAAGGUAGCAGUUGCAGGCACUUUCAUUUUGAAUGCUCCCCCUCGGCCAUUUUAAUCUGAGAGGAAUGGCACUUAUCCCUUGUAUUAAUUAAAGGGAAUGGCCAAAUUAUCUUUGAUUGGGAUGCACCUGUUUCUUGUUUUUUCCCCACUAACCUCUGUUGUUAACAUAGGUAUUGUUUAAAGAAUCGACAUUCCAAGCCAAUAUCACCUUGAGUAUUGUAACAUUUGAUGCCAUUAUAAUUUAUGCUUGUUGGUGGACUGCGACCCAGACAGGUUGGUGGAGCUUGACAAAUAAGAUCAGGUUGCCGAGAACAAUCAGAUAGCCCUAAAUGUUGUACACCAAGCCGGGGGCCCAUAACCCAUCCCAAAAGGUAUUGUUUGAGUUCAGUCACCAUUCAUGCUUUGUUAAGAGAAGAAGAUUUUCUUUUUUCCUCUGCCUUCAAAUUUUGAAUCCUUCAUAAAGGGGCCUCGGAGGCAUUGAACCA
Long non-coding RNA from Magnolia sinica, 513 nucleotides. RefSeq lists it as uncharacterized. NCBI's taxonomy places the organism in Eukaryota, Viridiplantae, Streptophyta, Magnoliopsida, Magnoliales, Magnoliaceae. The transcript is spliced from 2 exons. The record is from RefSeq and is a predicted model, not a curated record.